AUACUUACCUGGCAGUGGAGAUACCAUGAUCAUGAAGGUGGUUUUCCCAGGGCGAGGCUUAUCCAUUGCCCUGAGGAUGAGCUGACCUCUGUGAUUUCCUCAAAUGUGGGAAACUCAACUGCAUAAUUUAUGGUAGUGAGAGACGGUGUCCACACUGUCUCCUA
Molecule: small nuclear RNA, 164 nt
Filed under: Octodon degus (degu)
Lineage: Eukaryota; Metazoa; Chordata; Mammalia; Rodentia; Octodontidae
Description: U1 spliceosomal RNA (ENSODEG00000020924.1)
Rfam family: U1 spliceosomal RNA
About the family: U1 is a small nuclear RNA (snRNA) component of the spliceosome (involved in pre-mRNA splicing). Its 5' end forms complementary base pairs with the 5' splice junction, thus defining the 5' donor site of an intron.
Source: Rfam by way of RNAcentral